CUGUUCUGGCGGCCGCUGGAGGAGCUGUUCUGGCGGCCGCAGGGGAAGCUGUGCUGUUUCUGCUCCCCCGCCCUCAUGCGCUACUGAAUGAGACCGGGGCCGGAAUAUGACGUCAUUUUCCAGCCCCGGUCUCAUUCAGUGGCGCGCGAGGGCGGGGGAGCAGAGACAGCACAGCUUCCAGCGGCCGCCAGAACAGCUCCUCCAGCGGCCGCCAGAACAGCUC
Molecule: non-coding RNA, 223 nt
Organism: Pelobates cultripes (western spadefoot toad)
Lineage: Eukaryota; Metazoa; Chordata; Amphibia; Anura; Pelobatidae
Source: the annotation of a GenBank genome assembly